Molecule: ribosomal RNA, 121 nt
Filed under: Pteropus alecto (black flying fox)
Lineage: Eukaryota; Metazoa; Chordata; Mammalia; Chiroptera; Pteropodidae
Source: RNAcentral
GUCGACAGCCAUGCUACCCUGAACAUGCCUGAUAUUGUCUGAUUUUGGAAGCUCUAAGCAGGGUCGGGCCUGGUUAGUACUUGGAUGGGAGACUACCUAGGAAGACCAGGUGCUGUUGGCA